RNAcentral lists this ribosomal RNA (301 nucleotides) under uncultured bacterium. RNAcentral describes it as "bacterial SSU rRNA". It matches the Rfam family "Bacterial small subunit ribosomal RNA", at positions 335 to 654 of the family's 1533-position model. The record is from RNAcentral.
UCCCUACGGGGGGCAGCAGUGGGGAAUAUUGCACAAUGGGGGAAACCCUGAUGCAGCGACGCCGCGUGAGUGAAGAAGUAUUUCGGUAUGUAAAGCUCUAUCAGCAGGGAAGAUAAUGACGGUACCUGACUAAGAAGCUCCGGCUAAAUACGUGCCAGCAGCCGCGGUAAUACGUAUGGAGCAAGCGUUAUCCGGAUUUACUGGGUGUAAAGGGAGCGCAGACGGCUGUGCAAGUCUGGAGUGAAAGGCGGGUGCCCAACCCCCGGACUGCUCUGGAAACUUUAAAGCUGGAGUGCAGGAG